UACGGAGGGGGUUAGCGUUGUUCGGAAUUACUGGGCGUAAAGCGUACGUAGGCGGCUUAUUAAGUCGGAUGUGAAAGCCCUGGGCUCAACCUGGGAACUGCAUCCGAUACUGGUAGGCUAGAGUUUGUGAGAGGGUAGUGGAAUUCCUAGUGUAGCGGUGAAAUGCGUAGAUAUUAGGAGGAACAUCAGUGGCGAAGGCG
Molecule: ribosomal RNA, 200 nt
Filed under: uncultured bacterium
Lineage: Bacteria
Description: partial 16S ribosomal RNA
Rfam family: Bacterial small subunit ribosomal RNA
Source: RNAcentral